GUGCAGCAGGCGCGAAUCCUCCGCAAUGCGCGAAAGCGCGACGGGGUUACCCCGAGUGCCGUCCGCUGAGGACGGCUUUUGCCCAGUGUAGCCAGCUGGGCGAAUAAGGAGAGGGCAAGUCUGGUGUCAGCCGCCGCGGUAAUACCAGCUCUCCGAGUGGUGGGGACGCUUAUUGGGCCUAAAGCAUCCGUAGCCGGUCUGGCAAGUCCCUUGUUAAAUCCAACGAUUCAAUCGUUGGACUGCAAGGGGAUACUGCCAGACUAGGGGGCGGGAGAGGCCGACGGUAUUCCCGGGGUAGGGUGAAAUCCUAUAAUCCCGGGAGGACCACCAGUGGCGAAGGCUGUCGGCUAGAACGCGCCCGACGGUGAGGGAUGAAAGCUGGGGGAGCGAACGGAUUAGAUACCCCGGUAGU
This 412-nucleotide ribosomal RNA is filed under the name uncultured microorganism. Its description in RNAcentral is "bacterial SSU rRNA". It matches the Rfam family "Archaeal small subunit ribosomal RNA", at positions 330 to 745 of the family's 1478-position model. The record is from RNAcentral.